Molecule: non-coding RNA, 91 nt
Organism: Obba rivulosa
Lineage: Eukaryota; Fungi; Basidiomycota; Agaricomycetes; Polyporales; Gelatoporiaceae
Source: the annotation of a GenBank genome assembly
GCCGGGAUAGCUCAGCUGGGAGAGCAACAGACUGAAGUGACAUAGCCCGCGCGCUUUCUGGAGGUCCCGUGUUCAAUCCACGGUCCUGGCA